Bactrocera dorsalis (oriental fruit fly) is the source of this 536-nucleotide long non-coding RNA. RefSeq lists it as uncharacterized. The transcript is spliced from 2 exons. The record is from RefSeq and is a predicted model, not a curated record. NCBI's taxonomy places the organism in Eukaryota, Metazoa, Arthropoda, Insecta, Diptera, Tephritidae.
UGGAAUUGUUGAAUUGCCGCAAUUCGCAACAGUAUCGGUCUCCAAAAAAAUUAUUUCGUCGUCGUGUGCCACCGGAAAAACCCUAACUAAGCUGCAUACUUUUUGAAUUCUAGGAAACUUAACAAUAAAAUGAUCCUGUAAGGAGUUAUCCUGCCAACGCGGCCUCCUCUUUUUCGGAGGAAUCUCCAAUUUGACGUCCUAGAAGCAAUAGUUAUCGACAGUGAAACAAGUCUCAAUUCCGCAUCAUUUAGCUUCAUACUCGAAGAUAUUCUUGGCACUCAAAAAUUAAAACGUCUCCAGUUGUAAGCUCCGUUAACGGACCAAUUGAACGUUUCCACUCCACAUUGACAGAAAUAAUACUCUACCUAAAAGCCGGAUGUAGCCUAUUAUCAUUCCCUGAACUCCUAGACAGAUCAGUUUACGAACAUAAUUUUUCGACACACUUAACAACAGGUAGGGAAACUAUAGAAGUAUUUUUGGAAAAAUAUUAGUACAGACCCCAGUCAAUUCGAAAAUGUGAUGUGUCGACGUUGCGA